RNAcentral lists this ribosomal RNA (208 nucleotides) under uncultured bacterium. RNAcentral's name for it is "partial 16S ribosomal RNA". It matches the Rfam family "Bacterial small subunit ribosomal RNA", at positions 568 to 774 of the family's 1533-position model. The record is from RNAcentral.
CUCGUAGGCGGUUCGGUAAGUCGGGUGUGAAAAUCCAGGGCUCAACCCUGGGACGCCACCCGAUACUGCUGUGACUAGAGUCCGGUAGAGGAGCGUGGAAUUCCUGGUGUAGCGGUGAAAUGCGCAGAUAUCAGGAGGAACACCAGCGGCGAAGGCGGCGCUCUGGGCCGGUACUGACGCUGAGGAGCGAAAGCGUGGGGAGCAAACA